Molecule: ribosomal RNA, 438 nt
Filed under: uncultured bacterium
Lineage: Bacteria
Description: partial 16S ribosomal RNA
Rfam family: Bacterial small subunit ribosomal RNA
Source: RNAcentral
CUACGGGCGGCAGCAGUGGGGAAUCUUGGACAAUGGGCGCAAGCCUGAUCCAGCCAUGCCGCGUGAGUGAUGAAGGCCUUAGGGUCGUAAAGCUCUUUCGCCAGGGAUGAUAAUGACAGUACCUGGUAAAGAAACCCCGGCUAACUCCGUGCCAGCAGCCGCGGUAAUACGGAGGGGGUUAGCGUUGUUCGAAAUUACUGGGCGUAAAGCGCGCGUAGGCGGACCAGAAAGUUGGGGGUGAAAUCCCGGGGCUCAACCCGGAACGGCCUCCAAAACUCCUGGUCUUGAGUUCGGGAGAGGUGAGUGGAAUUCCGAGUGUAGAGGUGAAAUUCGUAGAUAUUCGGAGGAACACCAGUGGCGAAGGCGACUCACUGGCUCGAUACUGACGCUGAGGUGCGAAAGUGUGGGGAGCAAACAGGAUUAGAUACCCUCGUAGUC